CAGUCGCCGCGGGAAAACGAAGGGUGCAAGCGUUACUCGGAAUUACUGGGCGUAAAGCGUGCGUAGGUGGUGGUUUAAGUCCGUUGUGAAAGCCCUGGGCUCAACCUGGGAAUUGCAGUGGAUACUGGGUCACUAGAGUGUGGUAGAGGAUAGUGGAAUUUCCGGUGUAGCAGUGAAAUGCGUAGAGAUCGGAAGGAACAUCUGUGGCGAAGGCGACUAUCUGGGCCAACACUGACACUGAGGCACGAAAGCGUGGGGAGCAAACAGGAUUAGAUACCCGGGUAGUCCCUGUCUCUUAUAC
This 301-nucleotide ribosomal RNA is filed under the name uncultured bacterium. Its description in RNAcentral is "partial 16S ribosomal RNA". It matches the Rfam family "Bacterial small subunit ribosomal RNA", at positions 509 to 807 of the family's 1533-position model. The record is from RNAcentral.